RNAcentral lists this ribosomal RNA (1167 nucleotides) under Salmonella enterica subsp. enterica serovar Enteritidis. RNAcentral describes it as "partial 23S ribosomal RNA". It matches the Rfam family "Bacterial large subunit ribosomal RNA", at positions 1 to 1161 of the family's 2925-position model. The record is from RNAcentral. Lineage: Bacteria; Pseudomonadati; Pseudomonadota; Gammaproteobacteria; Enterobacterales; Enterobacteriaceae.
GUUGAUAAGGUUAAGUGAAUAAGGGCGCACGGUGGAUGCCUUGGCACUAGGAGCCGAUGAAGGACGGGACUAACACCGAUAUGCUUUGGGGAGCUGUAAGUAAGCUAUGAUCCAGAGAUUUCCGAAUGGGGGAACCCAAUAUCUUUUAUAGGAUAUUACUUUUCAGUGAAUACAUAGCUGAUUAGAGGUAGACGCAGAGAACUGAAACAUCUUAGUACCUGCAGGAAGAGAAAGAAAAUUCGAUUCCCUGAGUAGCGGCGAGCGAAACGGGAAGAGCCCAAACCAACAAGCUUGCUUGUUGGGGUUGUAGGACUCCAAUAUGGUAGUCUGUUAGUAUAGUUGAAGGAUUUGGAAAAUUCCGCUAAAGAGGGUGAAAGCCCCGUAGACGAAAUGCUAACAACACCUAGGAGGAUCCUGAGUACGGCGGAACACGAGAAAUUCCGUCGGAAUCCGCGGGGACCAUCCCGCAAGGCUAAAUACUCCCUAGUGACCGAUAGUGAACCAGUACCGUGAGGGAAAGGUGAAAAGCACCCCGGAAGGGGAGUGAAAUAGAUCCUGAAACCGUGUGCCUACAACAAGUCAAAGCUCGUUAAUGAGUGAUGGCGUGCCUUUUGUAGAAUGAACCGGCGAGUUACGAUUGCAUGCGAGGUUAAGUCGAAGAGACGGAGCCGCAGCGAAAGCGAGUCUGAAUAGGGCGAAUGAGUAUGUAGUCGUAGACCCGAAACCAUGUGAUCUACCCAUGUCCAGGUUGAAGGUGCGGUAAAACGCACUGGAGGACCGAACCCACGUACGUUGAAAAGUGCGGGGAUGAGGUGUGGGUAGCGGAGAAAUUCCAAACGAACUUGGAGAUAGCUGGUUCUCUCCGAAAUAGCUUUAGGGCUAGCCUCGGAAUUGAGAAUGAUGGAGGUAGAGCACUGUUUGGACUAGGGGCCCAUCUCGGGUUACCGAAUUCAGAUAAACUCCGAAUGCCAUUCAUUUAUAUCCGGGAGUCAGACUGCGAGUGAUAAGAUCCGUAGUCGAAAGGGAAACAGCCCAGACCACCAGCUAAGGUCCCAAAAUAUAUGUUAAGUGGAAAAGGAUGUGGGGUUGCACAGACAACUAGGAUGUUGGCUUAGAAGCAGCCACCAUUUAAAGAGUGCGUAAUAGCUCACUAGUCGAGUGACCCUG